CCUCCUCCUCCUGGAAUCACCUCCUGUUCAUGCUGGCGUGUAGGGAGAGGCACUGGUCUGUCUCCAAUGCUCUCCCCGCUCCCUGGACAACUUCACAUCCCGUGACUGUAGCUCAGAAGCAAGUGUGCAGAGUCCGUCAAACAGCCUGCAGCUUUGCUCCUGAGGAACCCUUCCGCGUGCUCCAGGCCCUCUGCAGUGCUGUGUUCAUUCUAGUCAGGAUCACAGGUUUUACCAGGUUAACAAAAGUGGUCCACGGGGCUCUCAGCUGGAAUCACACUGCUGCUCUAGACCCUCAACAGAUGGGAGAGAGGAAUUGUGAAAUUGCUUGUCUUAAGAAAACAGAAACCCUGCUAUCUGAGACAGGAUCUCAGGGGACCUACUUUGGCCACAGCACUUUUACUUCUCAUUCAGAGCAGCCCAGCGUUGUCCCACAGCAGAGAUUUGAUACUACAAGCACAGCAUGAAGCUCUUGCUUGAAAACCCUUUUUGCCACCAGUAAAAGAAAUCUACUUUCAGAAAAGAAGUCGUGCACACAAUUCAUGGAGGAGGACGCCAACCCAUUUCCACUGCAUAAGAAAUGAACAUUAAACCCUUGAGAGAAUAAAUAAAUCCGAGCAAAUUACCAAAUAAUGCUUUUCCCAGUAUAUUUCCUUUGAGCCUAAGAGCUCGCAGACUGCGAAUAGCACAGCUGUGCGGAGCUGCAAGGCCUUGCUCCUCGCGGGCGGAGGGCGCGGG
RNAcentral lists this long non-coding RNA (735 nucleotides) under Fukomys damarensis (Damara mole-rat). Its description in RNAcentral is "lncRNA (ENSFDAG00000032084.1)". Lineage: Eukaryota; Metazoa; Chordata; Mammalia; Rodentia; Bathyergidae. The record is from RNAcentral.